GUGGGGAAUAUUGGACAAUGGGCGAAAGCCUGAUCCAGCCAUGCCGCGUGUGUGAAGAAGGUCUUCGGAUUGUAAAGCACUUUAAGUUGGGAGGAAGGGUAGUAACCUAAUACGUUGCUACUUUGACGUUACCGAUAGAAUAAGCACCGGCUAACUUCGUGCCAGCAGCCGCGGUAAUACGAAGGGUGCAAGCGUUAAUCGGAAUUACUGGGCGUAAAGCGCGCGUAGGUGGUUCAGUAAGUUGGAAGUGAAAUCCCCGGGCUCAACCUGGGAACUGCUUUCAAAACUGCUGAGCUAGAGUACGGUAGAGGGUGGUGGAAUUUCCUGUGUAGCGGUGAAAUGCGUAGAUAUAGGAAGGAACACCAGUGGCGAAGGCGACCACCUGGACUGAUACUGACACUGAGGUGCGAAAGCGUGGGGAGCAAACAGGAUUAGAAACCCUGGUAGUCC
RNAcentral lists this ribosomal RNA (450 nucleotides) under uncultured bacterium. Its description in RNAcentral is "partial 16S ribosomal RNA". It matches the Rfam family "Bacterial small subunit ribosomal RNA", at positions 354 to 796 of the family's 1533-position model. The record is from RNAcentral.